CCUACGGGUGGCAGCAGUGAGGAAUAUUGGUCAAUGGCCGGAAGGCUGAACCAGCGAAGCCGCGUGAAGGAAGAAGGUGUCAAGCAUUGUAAACUUCUUUUGUCAAGGGACAAAAUCAGGCUCGAGAGCCCGAACGAGGGUACUCGAAGAAAAAGCAUCGGCCAACUCCGUGCCAGCAGCCGCGGUCAUACGGAGGAUGCGCGCGUUAUCCGGGUUUAGUGGGUUAAAAGGGUGCGAGGGCGUAAUGGUAAGUCAGCGGUAAAAGCCCGGGGCUCAACCCCGGCGUGCCGUUGAAACUGGGUGUCUUGAGAGGUCGAGAGGUAAGCGGAAUGCGCAGUGUAGCGGUGAAAUGCUUAGAUAUUGCGCAGAACUCCGAUGGCGAAGGCAGCAUACCGGCGGCGAACUGACGCUGAGGCACGAAAGCGUGGGUAUCGAACAGGAUUAGAUACCCGUGUAGUC
This 459-nucleotide ribosomal RNA is filed under the name uncultured bacterium. RNAcentral's name for it is "partial 16S ribosomal RNA". It matches the Rfam family "Bacterial small subunit ribosomal RNA", at positions 338 to 795 of the family's 1533-position model. The record is from RNAcentral.